RNAcentral lists this unclassified non-coding RNA (228 nucleotides) under uncultured fungus. RNAcentral describes it as "sequence contains ITS1, 5.8S rRNA gene". The stretch from base 180 to 228 matches the Rfam family "5.8S ribosomal RNA", at positions 1 to 49 of the family's 154-position model. The record is from RNAcentral. Lineage: Eukaryota; Fungi.
UCUCCGUAGGUGAACCUGCGGAGGGAUCAUUACUGAGUGAGGGCCCUCGUGGUCCGACCUCCAACCCUUUGUCGUCCGACUCUGUUGCCUCGGGGGCGUCCCCGGCGUUCGCGCCAGGGGCCCCCGGCGGUCCACACAACUCUGCAUCUUUGCGUCUGAGUAAACAUUAAAUGAAACAAAACUUUCAACAACGGAUCUCUUGGUUCUGGCAUCGAUGAAGAACGCAGC